RNAcentral lists this ribosomal RNA (484 nucleotides) under uncultured bacterium. Its description in RNAcentral is "partial 16S ribosomal RNA". It matches the Rfam family "Bacterial small subunit ribosomal RNA", at positions 30 to 507 of the family's 1533-position model. The record is from RNAcentral.
AUUGAACGCUGGCGGCAGGCCUAACACAUGCAAGUCGAGCGGAUGAAGGGAGCUUGCUCCUGGAUUCAGCGGCGGACGGGUGAGUAAUGCCUAGGAAUCUGCCUGGUAGUGGGGGAUAACGUCCGUAAACGGGCGCUAAUACCGCAUACGUCCUGAGGGAGAAAGUGGGGGAUCUUCGGACCUCACGCUAUCAGAUGAGCCUAGGUCGGAUUAGCUAGUUGGUGGGGUAAAGGCCUACCAAGGCGACGAUCCGUAACUGGUCUGAGAGGAUGAUCAGUCACACUGGAACUGAGACACGGUCCAGACUCCUACGGGAGGCAGCAGUGGGGAAUAUUGGACGAUGGGCGAAAGACUGAUCCAGCCAGGCCGCGUGUGUGAAGAAGGUCUUCGGAUUGUAAAGCACUUUAAGUGGGGAGGAAGGGCAGUAAGUUAAUACCUUGCUGUUGUGACGUUACCAACAGAAUAAGCACCGGCUAACUUCGUG